UUUUCUUUCUGUUUACUAUGGGCACGCAUUUCACCAACGGGGGCAGUAUUCUGCCCUAGCCUUUUAAGCAUUAGAGGAAUCCUGUAUGAUAAAAUUGUUGUUUAUUUUACAGUCUUGUUAUUAAGCAUCCAUCCAGAGAGCACCCCAGGAGAUAAGACUGAGUAACUCUGACAGCUUACCAACAACGUUCCAGCUCCGACAUCUGGAGCCCCAGGCCUGUGUUGCCUGUCUGCACUGAAGCCUGUGGCUGAAGUACCUUCCACACACCCUUUUUACAACCUCUGGACAUUAAUAACAAGGGGGAAAUGCUGCCGUGCAAUCCUGGAGAAAGGUAUUUGCUGAAGGACAGGACGGCUAGUAAAGAAUGUCUAGUGAUUGACCUUACUUCGCCAUCUGGUGCAAAGCCUCCACUGUAUUUUUUUAAUUUAUUUUACAUUUAUUUAACUAGGCAAGUCAGUUAAGAACAAAUUCUUAUUUUCAAUGACUGCCUAGGAACAGUGGGUUAACUGCCUGUUCAGGGGCAGAACGACAGAUUUUUACCUUGUCAGCUCGGAGAUUCGAUCUUACCAGUCCAACGCUCUAACCACUAGGCUACCUGCCUGACAUUAAUCUCCAAAGGCUUGAACCUUGUUGGUGAGUGGUUUUUAAAUUGAAUACAUCUUCAUCACCGCUAAGAAUAAUAUAGCUGGCAUUAUACUGAAUAUAAUGCACCUGCUUCAUCACAUCCUAAGGGACAUCUUUUAGCACGCCAACAUCCGUUUAUCUGGAGGGUUUGGCGUGUGGCCGUGGCCAGGACAGUGCCUUCAAAAAGUGAUUGGCUGAGAAACACUUUUUUACACCCCUCCUCCCCUUCCCCUGCUCACGCUUGCUUUUGAAUGAUGUGUUUAUAUGCACCUCUGAAAGUGAAAAGAGCCUGUCCUCCCUCCAUCAUCACUGAGAAAAGAUUCCUUAGGGACUCUGGCCCUUUUUAAACCAAUCCAGCAGCAUUAUUACAUAAGUAGCAAAAGCACUAAACUGGCACAUUCAAGAGUCAUUCCUCUCCUUAUUAAUCACCCCCCUAAUUCCAAUCACAUGAAAUGGGGGCUUAAACCGGGGGUGAGUUAGUUUGACAAAACGGGUAGUUGGUUUGAGAGCCAAACUUGCAUAAAGCUCACUUACCAAGCAAGGAUAUUUCUCUGGUUCAUUUAACGACAAUGGUACAUUUUGUGGCUCCAGUCCGUGGCCAGUCUGUGGAUAACGUCUGGGGACGAUCAGCUCAGAGUUCUCUCACAAUGAUCAAGCAGUUUAAACUAAGUUGUCAUAUAAAUUGACCAGAUUCUGCAGGACUGCUUAUAGUACGGCGCAAGCUCCUGAAAUGCCUCACUAUAUAAAACAUUGUCAAUCAACACUGAAUAGGCCGUCAUAAUCAUCCACCAAUAAUCCGAUAACACAUCUUAGAGUGGCAAGCAAACACUUGAAGAGGUUGACCUAUAGGACCUCAUUCGGAUGAAAGGAAUACCAGUCGUUAUAAAACCAUCUUAGAAAACGUUGGAGAAAAUAGAAGGUUGCUGUCAAUUUGUUUUAACCCUAGUUUCAGGGAUGUGGUGAAAUGUGGUACCUGAGAACCAAAAAUCGAUCCAACCUCUGUUUGUUUAUAAACUGACUAGGGAUAUAACACUUUUGCAGGUAUAAGACAGUAGUUAUGGACUGGUAUUGUUCACAAAAACUAAAACUCCUUGCUCCUAAAGUCAUAUUAUGUCUGUGCCUUGCUCUACAUAAUAAUCCAGGAUACAUGACAGACUGGUGAAGGAUAUUAUCCGUGCAAUGUGAAACGGUCUAUAUCCAGCCCAGUAAGCAUGACCCUGGAUGAUGGAGGUAUUUUGGUAGCCUGUUUGUGCUCUUGAAGCUCAUGGGGCUUACAGCAAUCAAGGCUUGGAUCACAUCCAUCUCAGCCACAGAUAUGAUGCAAUGUCAUGGAUUGUUGCAAUGGACACUUUCCAUUCCUUUUUUCACAGGUUAUCCACUGUUUAUUCACCUACCCCUUUUAAUGGCUUGGAUAACCUUUACACAGUUAUUUUCAUUCAUCAAUGGUAAUAUGUCAGCUGUGAAAGGGUAUUAUAACAACACGUUUUUCACCCCCGAGUGUGAUGUGGAAUAUUUAGCUUAUUGAAAAGACUACUGUUUCUUUUAGCACUCUUCACGUAACAUUAAUGUAGAAUCUAUACAGGUACUUAUUGUAUACUGUAUAAUCUUUUUAUUACACCUUGUAUGCUUACCAUAUUCAUCCUUUAAAUAAUGGUUACACAGGGCUUUAUUGCAUUUUAAUGUCACAUUGUUAAUGUUUGAUUGUUCAACAGUAUAAUAAAGGGUCGUUCCCCCAUCAGAAAUAUCCCAUAUUUUGUAUAUUUCUGUCUUUCCACUCUUGCUUGGACUGUACUGCAGUAAUUAAAUGGUAUAUUUGACAGA
Molecule: long non-coding RNA, 2445 nt
Organism: Oncorhynchus kisutch (coho salmon)
Lineage: Eukaryota; Metazoa; Chordata; Actinopteri; Salmoniformes; Salmonidae
Exons: 2
Source: RefSeq, a predicted model, not a curated record